CCCUUAGACACUCUAGGCGGCACGCGCGCUACAAUGGGUGGAAGAACGUGUUACUGCCUCCGAAAGGAGGGGUGAAUCACGAAUUCUUGCCCGUGAAUGGGAUAGUUUGUUGCAAUUUUCGGACUUGAACUAGGAAUCCCUUGUAAACAUGCUCAAGAAUAGCGUGUUGAAUACGUCCCUGCCGUUUGUACACACCGCCCGUCGUUUCUUCCGACUGAUACUCAUUGUGAGUUGCAAGGACCCUUUAUUGGGAAAUUGCUGCAAAUGCUUUGUAUUGGAGGAAGAAAAANUCGUANCA
RNAcentral lists this ribosomal RNA (298 nucleotides) under uncultured eukaryote. RNAcentral describes it as "partial 18S ribosomal RNA". It matches the Rfam family "Eukaryotic small subunit ribosomal RNA", at positions 1470 to 1796 of the family's 1831-position model. The record is from RNAcentral.